AGAGUUUGAUCCUGGCUCAGGACGAACGCUGGCGGCGUGCCUAAUACAUGCAAGUUGAGCGCUGAAGGUUGGUACUUGUACCAACUGGAUGAGCAGCGAACGGGUGAGUAACGCGUGGGGAAUCUGCCUUUGAGCGGGGGACAACAUUUGGAAACGAAUGCUAAUACCGCAUAAAAACUUUAAACACAAGUUUUAAGUUUGAAAGAUGCAAUUGCAUCACUCAAAGAUGAUCCCGCGUUGUAUUAGCUAGUUGGUGAGGUAAAGGCUCACCAAGGCGAU
RNAcentral lists this ribosomal RNA (279 nucleotides) under uncultured Lactococcus sp. Its description in RNAcentral is "partial 16S ribosomal RNA". It matches the Rfam family "Bacterial small subunit ribosomal RNA", at positions 8 to 277 of the family's 1533-position model. The record is from RNAcentral. Lineage: Bacteria; Bacillati; Bacillota; Bacilli; Lactobacillales; Streptococcaceae.